This 497-nucleotide ribosomal RNA is filed under the name uncultured bacterium. Its description in RNAcentral is "partial 16S ribosomal RNA". It matches the Rfam family "Bacterial small subunit ribosomal RNA", at positions 28 to 507 of the family's 1533-position model. The record is from RNAcentral.
GAUGAACGCUGGCGGCGUGCCUAAUACAUGCAAGUCGAGCGAACAGACGAGGAGCUUGCUCCUCUGACGUUAGCGGCGGACGGGUGAGUAACACGUGGAUAACCUACCUAUAAGACUGGGAUAACUUCGGGAAACCGGAGCUAAUACCGGAUAAUAUAUUGAACCGCAUGGUUCAAUAGUGAAAGGCGGUUUUGCUGUCACUUAUAGAUGGAUCCGCGCCGCAUUAGCUAGUUGGUAAGGUAACGGCUUACCAAGGCAACGAUGCGUAGCCGACCUGAGAGGGUGAUCGGCCACACUGGAACUGAGACACGGUCCAGACUCCUACGGGAGGCAGCAGUAGGGAAUCUUCCGCAAUGGGCGAAAGCCUGACGGAGCAACGCCGCGUGAGUGAUGAAGGUCUUCGGAUCGUAAAACUCUGUUAUUAGGGAAGAACAAGUGUGUAAGUAACUAUGCACGUCUUGACGGUACCUAAUCAGAAAGCCACGGCUAACUACGUG